This 446-nucleotide ribosomal RNA is filed under the name uncultured bacterium. RNAcentral's name for it is "partial 16S ribosomal RNA". It matches the Rfam family "Bacterial small subunit ribosomal RNA", at positions 338 to 795 of the family's 1533-position model. The record is from RNAcentral.
CCUACGGGAGGCAGCAGUCGAGAAUCAUUCACAAUGGGGGAAACCCUGAUGGUGCGACGCCGCGUGGGGGAAUGAAGGUCUUCGGAUUGUAAACCCCUGUCAUGUGGGAGCAAAUUAACAAGAUAGUACCACAAGAGGAAGAGACGGCUAACUCUGUGCCAGCAGCCGCGGUAAUACAGAGGUCUCAAGCGUUGUUCGGAAUCACUGGGCGUAAAGCGUGCGUAGGCUGUUUCGUAAGUCGUGUGUGAAGGGCGCGGGCUCAACCCGCGGACGGCACAUGAUACUGGGAGACUAGAGUAGGGGGAGAGGAACCGGAAUUCUCGGUGUAGCAGUGAAAUGCGUAGAUAUGGAGAGGAACACUCGUGGCGAAGGCGGGUUCCUGGACAUUAACUGACGCUGAGGCACGAAGGCCAGGGGAGCGAAAGGGAUUAGAUACCCGAGUAGUC